Cyprinus carpio (common carp) is the source of this 565-nucleotide long non-coding RNA. Lineage: Eukaryota; Metazoa; Chordata; Actinopteri; Cypriniformes; Cyprinidae. The record is from Ensembl.
UUGUCAGGUUCAGUGUUAAGUUCGUUCGUUAAUUUAUGUUAUAACGUUAUAUGCUUUACGCUUCUUUUAUUUUUAGUUGGUCGUCCUCUCGCCUCUGUUCCCUCCUCGGCCUGGGGUUACUGCGAAUCUGGCGAUGAAGACUGAAGCUGCUAACGUUAUAUUCGAAUGGGACAGUUAUAUUGCUUCAAUUGGUCUCCUACUUCAUUUGAUUCCACCAUCAUUACAAGGCUGCAAGGGAUCUGGAAAAAUGUCAUCCUGUCAAGCUGAAAAACAUCUUCAAAAAGGCACUAACAAGAACAGCUUGAUUGCAGAGAAGAGACCACACAGCCAUACACGCUCACUGAUGGGACGAUGAGGAACAUCAUUCAUGGAUGCUACACAACUCAAAUCUACACGUCAUAUUUGUUCAUGUCUAGGUAAAUUUGAUGAUUUUGUGUUUUAUUAAUUACUUUGUUUCUGUGCAACACUUAAUGAAUGUGACUGACUAAUUAACCUCUACACAUCUGGUAUAUGCUUUAAAGUUGCCACUUUGCCCAUUUGUUCAAUAAAUGUUGAAAUGUAUACA